UCUUAUGAAUAAGAAAUUAAGGACCCCCUGCUCUUUAUCUGGCAUCCGUUCCCUUGCUACUCACACGCACACUUCACGAAAAAAUUAUACCCAACCUGUUGAAAAGCACUUACUUUCACAUUGUUUCCUUCAAAACUUGGGUUUAGUUUCUUGUAUACUCUUUAAUCUGACUUGGAAUUUAUCAGGUUGGCUGUCAGGGAAUCAUUCAUUUGAAAUGCACGUGGACAGUGUACCCAAUAGGGCUUACUCGGAAAGUUGCCCCGAUCAAAACCCAUUGUACCCAACGCCUUUUUUAUUAUAAAUUUUUUUGAAAAAAUAAAGAAGUUCAAGCUCGACAAAUUUACACCUAUAAUAUGAGAAUUAGAUAUUUUUUUGAUGAGGUUCGAAUAUGAUGUCUGUUAAAAAAAAUUGUUUUUAAGGUAGUUGAUGCAGUUGUGAAUAUCUUGUAUUGACUAUCAAUUAAGAUAACUUCAAUACUUUAUUGUUGGUUAAUAAAGAUUACUAGUUGAUAUACAAUCUCAUAAUUUUUUACUUAUCGUAUUGAUAAGUCUUUUAAUUUAAAAAUUUGUCCGUCUCAAGUUCGUAUAAAAGAUGAGAAUUAUUAUAAUUUUCCUUUUAGGUUCGAUUGUGAGAAAGAUGUUUACUUUAUUUAAACGGGAGAGUUUUGUUGAGAGAAAAUGACAUGCGCCCCCACCAACUCUUAUGAAUAAGAAAUUAAGGACCCCCUGCUCUUUAUCUGGCAUCCGUUCCCUUGCUACUCACACGCACACUUCACGAAAAAAUUAUACCCAACCUGUUGAAAAGCACUUACUUUCACAUUGUUUCCUUCAAAACUUGGGUUUAGUUUCUUGUAUACUCUUUAAUCUGACUUGGAAUUUAUCAGGUUGGCUGUCAGUCUUUCUCUGAAGAGUGAUAAAGUGAUAUUGGGGUUUUGUUAAUUUUUUGCGUUUUCAUAAAUUAAAGCUUGGUAUUGUGGGUAUUUGAAGAUUUUGGUUGGUGGGUUGGUGUGAGUUUUUAGUUUUUAUCUGUCAAGAUUCAA
This 1039-nucleotide long non-coding RNA is filed under the name Olea europaea (common olive). RNAcentral's name for it is "long non-coding RNA (OEUR_LNC007051)". Lineage: Eukaryota; Viridiplantae; Streptophyta; Magnoliopsida; Lamiales; Oleaceae. The record is from RNAcentral.